RNAcentral lists this ribosomal RNA (255 nucleotides) under uncultured bacterium. RNAcentral's name for it is "partial 16S ribosomal RNA". It matches the Rfam family "Bacterial small subunit ribosomal RNA", at positions 524 to 776 of the family's 1533-position model. The record is from RNAcentral.
UACGUAGGGUGCAAGCGUUAAUCGAAAUUACUGGGCGUAAAGCGCACGUAGGCGGAUUGUUAAGUCGGGGGUGAAAUCCUGGAGCUCAACUCCAGAACUGCCUUCGAUACUGGCGAUCUCGAGUUCGGGAGAGGUGAGUGGAACUGCGGAAGUGUAGAGGUGAAAUUCGUAGAUAUUCGCAAGAACACCAGUGGCGAAGGCGGCUCACUGGCCCAUUACUGACGCUGAGGCACGAAAGCGUGGGGAGCAAACAGG